Long non-coding RNA from Motacilla alba alba, 1015 nucleotides. RefSeq lists it as uncharacterized. Lineage: Eukaryota; Metazoa; Chordata; Aves; Passeriformes; Motacillidae. The record is from RefSeq and is a predicted model, not a curated record. The transcript is spliced from 3 exons.
CCCUGAUCGAGAGCCUAAGGACAGUGAGUACAUUUGGAUGACUCACUGAGGUGGGACAGGGUGGAGAGGCUAAUCCCUGUCUGCUCCUAAACAUUACAAAAGGGAAGAUCCAAAACAAGCAAAUCAUCACCAACCUCCAAGGAGUCAAGGAGACUUGCUGGUGUAUUGCUGGUGUCUCUCCUCCUUCAUGUCCUCGCAAGGGAUCCUGGACUGGGCACUUGGAACACACAUCUUGAUGCCUGUUGGUGGCCUGGCUGCUUGGACACGAUCCAACCAGCCUCUGAUGGGUUCUACACAGCUCUCAGGACCUGGCAGCAGAGCCUCCCCAUGAGCUCAGGAGAUGAUGCCAGUCACACCUGUAAUUCAGAAGAAGAUAUUGCCCACAAAUUUACUAGAACCACUGAAGAGAACCAGUAGCAGAGGAGAGAUGGAAAAAAAAUCAGCCCCCAGAAGAGACCAGACUGCUCCCAGCAGGAAAGCUGAUCUUCAGGGGGUGCAGCAUGUGAAGCACCAGCCACAUGCAGUGUCAUGCAUGAUACACAUGCCAAGUCUCCAGGAGUUUUCCAGAAGCAUUUCCAGUCUCCAAGAGAUUUUUCACGAUGGAAGACAACACAGGGAGCAUCACUGCAGCUGCAACACAGCACGCUCCUGCCUGUUUCCAGGCUGAAGUCACUACACCUCCCAUCAUCUGUGCAGCACAAAAACAGGGCCAGAAGCACAAAAACAGGGCCAGAGUCCUACGUGGGGAUGGGACGAGGAAGCAGCCUACCCAUCCACAAACACGGCCAUCUCUGCCUGAAGGAUGUGGCCCCAGGACAGGAUGCAACCAGGCAAGUAAAAAGCCAACAAUUCUUGAAUAUUUUGCAGACAGACCUAAAGACAUUUUAAGUUCUAAUGGAAAAUAGUAUUUGAUAGUUUGCAAGUCAGUAAAAACUGAUUUUAUCUAUGUGACUUUUUCUUCCAGACAGGCAAUGAUACCACAUUAUUGAUGGUAUUCUUUGUACUACAUUGUUGA